UCCAUGGUGGAAGGGAAGAGGGUGUAGCUGAGGGUAAGCAUGAGAUCAAAGAAAAGGACCAGAGAACCUCCACACCAUCGAUUCAUCUUCAUGGUUGGAGAACAUUGAAAGCUUUCUGUGUGUGUGUGUGUGCAUGCGUGUAUUCAAAGCUUGGAUUUUUCGAAGGAAGAGAAGAAGAAGAGUGUCGGUGGUUGGCCGGAGAACAUCAUUGCUCUGAGAUUCUCUUUGUGUUGUUCUCUCUUUGGAUUUCGCAAAUGUUAGGUUUUUUUGUUUUAAAAAAAUUAUUUCUUUUUUAACCUUCAUUUGAUCAAUGGAGACAUGUUUGCUAAUUUCCCUUCGAGAUGGGGAGAGGGCUUUACCGGGAGGAUGCCACGCAUGGCGGCACCGUCAAUGGAGGGGAUGCAAACCCUCGUCUUCUUGCCUUGAUCUCAAGAACAACCAUCUCACAACCAUUUCGUCAAACACUUUGUGGGCGUAGGGAAAUAACGCUAGUGUUUCUACUGUUAUUAUGGAUGUAGAGGGAUUGAAAGCUCUAAAUGUUGAUCUACAGUCUUGGCAAAGGUUGUUUUUUACUUGGGGAGGUGAUGCCGGAAGGGAGAGCACCAGAGCAAUUCCCAGAAUGAAGAUUUAAAGCCACAAGGUUAAUAUGUUUUAA
Dioscorea cayenensis subsp. rotundata (Guinea yam) is the source of this 655-nucleotide long non-coding RNA. RefSeq lists it as uncharacterized. The transcript is spliced from 3 exons. The record is from RefSeq and is a predicted model, not a curated record. Lineage: Eukaryota; Viridiplantae; Streptophyta; Magnoliopsida; Dioscoreales; Dioscoreaceae.